This 495-nucleotide ribosomal RNA is filed under the name uncultured bacterium. Its description in RNAcentral is "partial 16S ribosomal RNA". It matches the Rfam family "Bacterial small subunit ribosomal RNA", at positions 28 to 507 of the family's 1533-position model. The record is from RNAcentral.
GACGAACGCUGGCGGCGUGCCUAAUACAUGCAAGUAGAACGCUGAAGGAGGAGCUUGCUCUUCUGGAUGAGUUGCGAACGGGUGAGUAACGCGUAGGUAACCUGCCUGGUAGCGGGGGAUAACUAUUGGAAACGAUAGCUAAUACCGCAUAACAGUAGAUGUUGCAUGACAUUUGCUUAAAAGGUGCAAUUGCACCACUACCAGAUGGACCUGCGUUGUAUUAGCUAGUUGGUGGGGUAACGGCUCACCAAGGCGACGAUACAUAGCCGACCUGAGAGGGUGAUCGGCCACACUGGGACUGAGACACGGCCCAGACUCCUACGGGAGGCAGCAGUAGAGAAUCUUCGGCAAUGGACGGAAGUCUGACCGAGCAACGCCGCGUGAGUGAAGAAGGGUUUCGGAUCGUAAAGCUCUGUUGUAAGAGAAGAACGAGUGUGAGAGUGGAAAGUUCACACUGUGACGGUAUCUUACCAGAAAGGGACGGCUAACUACGUG